This 554-nucleotide ribosomal RNA is filed under the name uncultured bacterium. RNAcentral describes it as "bacterial SSU rRNA". It matches the Rfam family "Bacterial small subunit ribosomal RNA", at positions 8 to 563 of the family's 1533-position model. The record is from RNAcentral.
AGAGGUUGAUUAUGGCUCAGGAUGAACGCUGGCGCCGUGCUUAACGCAUGCAAGUCGAACGGAAAAUAUUUCAUUGAGACUUCGGUGGAUUUGAUUUAUUUCUAGUGGCGGACGGGUGAGUAACGCGUGGGUAACCUGCCUUAUACAGGGGGAUAACAGUCAGAAAUGGUUGCUAAUACCGCAUAAGCGCACAGGGCUGCAUGGCUCAGUGUGAAAAACUCCGGUGGUAUAAGAUGGACCCGCGUUGGAUUAGCUGGUUGGUGGGGUAACGGCCCACCAAGGCGACGAUCCAUAGCCGGCCUGAGAGGGUGAACGGCCACAUUGGGACUGAGACACGGCCCAGACUCCUACGGGAGGCAGCAGUGGGGAAUAUUGCACAAUGGGGGAAACCCUGAUGCAGCGACGCCGCGUGAAGGAAGAAGUAUCUCGGUAUGUAAACUUCUAUCAGCAGGGAAGAUAGUGACGGUACCUGACUAAGAAGCCCCGGCUAACUACGUGCCAGCAGCCGCGGUAAUACGUAGGGGGCAAGCGUUAUCCGGAUUUACUGGGUGUAA